RNAcentral lists this ribosomal RNA (593 nucleotides) under Patescibacteria group bacterium. Its description in RNAcentral is "bacterial SSU rRNA". It matches the Rfam family "Bacterial small subunit ribosomal RNA", at positions 787 to 1390 of the family's 1533-position model. The record is from RNAcentral.
CUUGUAGUCCACGCCCUAAACGAUGCAGAUUAGCUAUUGGGGGCAUCGACCCCUCCAGUGGCGCAGCUAACGCGUUAAAUCUGCCGCCUGGGAAGUACGAUCGCAAGAUUAAAACUCAAAGGAAUAGGCGGGAGUUCGCACAAGCGGUGGAUCAUGUGGUUCAAUUCGACACAGAGCGAAAAACCUCACCAAGGCUUGAAAUCCAGGUGCAAGCCUCCAGAAACGGAGGCCGCCUUCGAGGGUCCUGGACAGGUGCUGCACGGCUGUCGUCAGCUCGUCAUGUGAAUGGUUCCCUUAAGUGGGGAAACGAGCGCAACCCCCGUUGCCUGUUAUACGUGUCAGGCGAGACUGCCGAGGUUGACUCGGAGGAAGGAGGGGAUGACGUCAAGUCAGCGUGGCCCUUUGAUGCCUUGGGCUACACACAUGAUACAAUGGAUGCAACAAUGGGUUGCCAAGCCGCGAGGCGGAGCUAAUCCCAUCAAAUACAUCCUCAGUUCGGAUUGGAGGCUGCAACUUGCCUCCAUGAAGCUGGAAUCGCUAGUAAUCGCAGAUCAGCACGCUGCGGUGAAUACGUUCUCGAACUUUGCACUCAC